This 244-nucleotide long non-coding RNA is filed under the name Malus domestica (apple). RNAcentral describes it as "long non-coding RNA (MDOM_LNC004267)". The record is from RNAcentral. Lineage: Eukaryota; Viridiplantae; Streptophyta; Magnoliopsida; Rosales; Rosaceae.
CGUAUAUGCACUCAAUGUAAUCAUAAAGUUCAAAACCAUUCAACUGAGACGGUUUAUAAAUCCUUAUCGACUACCUUGGAGCUUGUGGUAUAGGAACUAGGUUGUUAUAUAUUUGUUGAUUACUAUCUUGUCUCUCAAAGAACCCAUUCUUCGAGUUCUAUCUCUCGUUCAUUUGCUUUUUAGGCAAAUCACAUUGUAGAAUUACAAUGAACUACCCAACAAAACAACAUUUGUUAGUUGGUUU